This is a long non-coding RNA of Mauremys mutica (yellowpond turtle), 809 nucleotides long. RefSeq lists it as uncharacterized. The transcript has 3 exons. The record is from RefSeq and is a predicted model, not a curated record. Lineage: Eukaryota; Metazoa; Chordata; Testudines; Geoemydidae.
ACCAGAUCAAAAAAGCCAAUGAGAAGCCUAGAACUGUUAAAAAUUGAGAAAAAACUUCCCCUUUGUCUGUUGUUCUCCUAGGAAGAGGGGGACAGAGCAGUGAUGCUGUGAGCAGCUUUGGGCCAAAGCUGAUCCGUUUCCCAAAACUCACAGGCCAACUUCGCCAGCAGUAUCAGCCGAUGAAAUUCCACUGAAGUCCAAAGAAUUGCAUUCAUGUAGUGAAUUGGAUCGAAAGACGAGAGUUGGAACCAUACCAGUAAUGUUUGAUGUAGUUAAACAAAAUCUGGGGUAUUCCACGGAUACCAAUUAAAGCGCCUUUUUUAAACAGACCAUGAAGUUAAGACUUCCCAUCCCCAUUCCGCCUUGCCUUCCAAAGAGCUGCCGUCACCAAAGCUGGAUUAUAAUUACAGGGGGGCCUGAACCAAAAUCCUACAUAUGAACAUCCCCAAAUCUUGGGGAAAUGUGGAUCUAUAUUCAAACGUCCCCAUGGCCUCUACCUCUUCAUAGUUUUGGUGUGGACUAUUGUAGCCAGAACCCUAGCAAUCUUUGGGCUCUAGAUUGGAACUUUUUGGCUCAGGCUCAUAUCUAUCUAUAAUGCAAACUACAGGAAUGAUAAACUGCAGCAUGUUAAAAUUCUAAAUAGUUGUGCUGACUAAUAAAGUAUGAAUGAAGCCAAUAUAAAUAUUGUACCAGACAGACCAACUCACUCUUCUACAGAUACUAAUAUCAUCCUCUAUCAAAAGCUGCAGAAUGAUCUACCACUAAAACAACAGUAAACAAAUUAGAAUCAGCAGCCAUCAAUGAAACAU